UAUAAGAGGUAAAGCCUGCCCAGUGACCUCAUUCAACGGCCGCGGUAUCCUAACCGUGCGAAGGUAGCGUAAUCACUUGUUCUUUAAAUGAGGACUAGUAUGAAUGGCAUCACGAGGGUUAUACUGUCUCCUCCCCCUAAUCAGUGAAACUAAUCUCCCCGUGAAGAAGCGGGGAUAAAAAUAUAAGACGAGAAGACCCUAUGGAGCUUUAAACUAAACUACAUUUGCUAACUACAUAAAAAUUUCAGAAAAAUAAAUUUAUUAAAGCACUCUGAUAGUCAGUUUUAGGUUGGGGUGACCGCGGAGUAAAAAACAUCCUCCGCAUUGAACAAGAUUGCUUCUUUAGCCAAAAGUUACGACUUUAAGCAUCAAUAAAUUGACAUUAUUGACCCAAUAUUUUGAUCAACGAACCAAGUUACCCUAGGGAUAACAGCGCAAUCCACUUCAAGAGCUCCUAUCGACAAGUGGGUUUACGACCUCGAUGUUGGAUCAGGGUAUCCCAGUGGUGCAGCCGCUACUAAAGGUUCGUUUGUUCAA
This is a ribosomal RNA of 537 nucleotides. It matches the Rfam family "Bacterial large subunit ribosomal RNA", at positions 1844 to 2584 of the family's 2925-position model.